Molecule: ribosomal RNA, 253 nt
Filed under: uncultured bacterium
Lineage: Bacteria
Description: partial 16S ribosomal RNA
Rfam family: Bacterial small subunit ribosomal RNA
Source: RNAcentral
GACGGAAGGUGCAAGCGUUGCUCGGAAUCACUGGGCGUAAAGGGUGCGUAGGCGGCUUGGUGGGUCUGGUGUGAAAGCCCCGGGCUCAGCCCGGGAAGGGCACUAGAAACUGCCGAGCUGGAGUGCCGGAGGGGAGAGUGGAAUUCCUGGUGUAGCGGUGAAAUGCGUAGAUAUCGGGAGGAACAUCUGUGGCGAAGGCGACUGCCUGGACCAGCACUGACACUGAGGCACGAAAGCGUGGGGAGCAAACAGG